AGAUGUGAGGACAAUCUGUCUGUGACAUCUGUCACCCCACUGAUAGCCAGGGAUGAUUUGCUGAUCUGGCUGGCUAAGCAGAUGUUCCCUUCUUUGCUCAAUGCUCCAUAUGCAUCCCUCCCAAAGAUACAUGUUCGGUCAAGAGGACGACCUUCCCGGAUAGAGGAGGACCGGUCUUAGGACAAGGGUAUAUGCGUAACUGUGCCUCCCUGCUAGAACCUCCAAACAAGCUCUCAAUAACAACAACAACAACAAAAAAAAAACACUUAAAAUACCACCUUUCAAAUUCAUACAUUAAAUAACUUU
RNAcentral lists this small nuclear RNA (306 nucleotides) under Nannospalax galili (Upper Galilee mountains blind mole rat). RNAcentral's name for it is "7SK RNA (ENSNGAG00000002917.1)". It matches the Rfam family "7SK RNA". Rfam says of the family: 7SK was discovered as an abundant small nuclear RNA in the mid-70s but a possible function has only recently been suggested. The record is from Rfam by way of RNAcentral. Lineage: Eukaryota; Metazoa; Chordata; Mammalia; Rodentia; Spalacidae.